UACGAAGGGGGCUAGCGUUGUUCGGAAUUACUGGGCGUAAAGGGCGUGUAGGCGGCCAUACAGGUCCGUUGUGAAAACUCGAGGCUCAACCUCGAGACGUCGAUGGAAACCGUAUGGCUAGAGUCCGGAAGAGGAGAGUGGAAUUCCUGGUGUAGCGGUGAAAUGCGCAGAUAUCAGGAAGAACACCCGUGGCGAAGGCGGCUCUCUGGGACGGUACUGACGCUGAGACGCGAAAGCGUGGGGAGCGAACAGG
This 253-nucleotide ribosomal RNA is filed under the name uncultured bacterium. RNAcentral describes it as "partial 16S ribosomal RNA". It matches the Rfam family "Bacterial small subunit ribosomal RNA", at positions 524 to 776 of the family's 1533-position model. The record is from RNAcentral.